CCUACGGGAGGCUGCAGUGGGGAAUAUUGGGCAAUGGGGGCAACCCUGACCCAGCGACGCCGCGUGGGGGAAGACGGCCUUCGGGUUGUAAACCUCUUUUGUACGGGAAGAAGGAAGUGACGGUACUGUACGAAUAAGUCCCGGCUAACUACGUGCCAGCAGCCGCGGUAAUACGUAGGGGACGAGCGUUGUCCGGAAUUACUGGGCGUAAAGGGCGCGCAGGCUGUGCUGCAAGUCAGCUGUUAAAUGUCUGGGCUUAACCCGGGCAUGCGGUUGAGACUGCGGUGCUGGAGUGCUGUAGAGGCAAGUGGAAUUCCCAGUGUAGCGGUGAAAUGCGUAGAUAUUGGGAAGAACACCGGUGGCGAAGGCGACUUGCUGGGCAGCAACUGACGCUGAGGCGCGAAAGCCAGGGGAGCAAACGGGCUUAGAUACCCGUGUAGUC
This 442-nucleotide ribosomal RNA is filed under the name uncultured Synergistaceae bacterium. RNAcentral describes it as "bacterial SSU rRNA". It matches the Rfam family "Bacterial small subunit ribosomal RNA", at positions 338 to 795 of the family's 1533-position model. Lineage: Bacteria; Thermotogati; Synergistota; Synergistia; Synergistales; Synergistaceae. The record is from RNAcentral.